RNAcentral lists this ribosomal RNA (519 nucleotides) under Perisesarma maipoense. RNAcentral describes it as "partial large subunit ribosomal RNA". The stretch from base 395 to 519 matches the Rfam family "Bacterial large subunit ribosomal RNA", at positions 2473 to 2597 of the family's 2925-position model. The record is from RNAcentral. Lineage: Eukaryota; Metazoa; Arthropoda; Malacostraca; Decapoda; Sesarmidae.
AAAGUCUAGCCUGCUCACUGAUAUUAUUUUUAAGAGCCGCGGUAUUUCUGACUGUGCAAAGGUAGCAUAAUCGUUAGUUUUUUAAUUGAAAUCUUGUAUGAAUGGUUUGACAAAAAAAAAGCUGUCUUUAUAAUUAUUAAUUGAAUUUAACUUUUAAGUGAAAAGGCUUAAAUAAAUUAAAAAGACGAUAAGACCCUAUAAAGCUUAAUAUAAACUUAUUAUUUAAUAAAAUUUUUAAAUAUAAAUAUUUAAUAAUAAAUUUUUAUUUUAUUGGGGUGAUAAUGGUAAAAUGAUUAUUAACUGUUAAUUUUAUUGAAACAAAAAUAAAUGGCUAACAAAUAUUUGUUUAUAUAAUUGAUCCUAUUUAAAGAUUAAAAGUUUAAGUUACUUUAGGGAUAACAGCGUAAUUUUUUUUGAGAGUUCUUAUCGAGAAAAAAGUUUGCGACCUCGAUGUUGAAUUAAAAUAUCUGUAUAAUUGUAGCAGUUAUAUUAGAAGGUCUGUUCGACCUUUAAAUUUUU